This 358-nucleotide ribosomal RNA is filed under the name Dermocybe sp. 12-390. RNAcentral's name for it is "eukaryotic LSU rRNA". The stretch from base 1 to 105 matches the Rfam family "5.8S ribosomal RNA", at positions 50 to 154 of the family's 154-position model. Lineage: Eukaryota; Fungi; Basidiomycota; Agaricomycetes; Agaricales; Cortinariaceae. The record is from RNAcentral.
GAAAUGCGAUAAGUAAUGUGAAUUGCAGAAUUCAGUGAAUCAUCGAAUCUUUGAACGCACCUUGCGCUCCUUGGUAUUCCGAGGAGCAUGCCUGUUUGAGUGUCAUUAAUAUAUCAACAUUUUCGAGCCUUUUCUUGGAAUGUUGGAUGUUGGGGGUUUUUCUUUUGCUGGUUUUUUGUUAUAGAGGUCAGCUCCCCUGAAAUACAUUAGCGGAACAAUUUGUUGACCGUUUAUUGGUGUGAUAACUAUAUAUCUACGCUAUUAACGUGAAGUAGAGUUCAGCUUCUAACAGUCCAUUGACUUGGACAACUUUUAUUAAUGUGACCUCAAAUCAGGUAGGAUUACCCGCUGAACUUAA